Molecule: ribosomal RNA, 494 nt
Filed under: uncultured bacterium
Lineage: Bacteria
Description: partial 16S ribosomal RNA
Rfam family: Bacterial small subunit ribosomal RNA
Source: RNAcentral
GACGAACGCUGGCGGCGUGCUUAACACAUGCAAGUCGAACGGUGAAGCGCCUUCCUUUUUGGUUGGUGUGGAUGAGUGGCGAACGGGUGAGUAACACGUGAGUAACCUGCCCCCUUCUUCUGGAUAACCGCAUGAAAGUGUGGCUAAUACGGGAUAUUCUGGGUCUGUCGCAUGAUGGGUCUGGGAAGGAUAUUGUUUCGGUGGGGGAUGGGCUCGCGGCCUAUCAGCUUGUUGGUGGGGUGAUGGCCUACCAAGGCGGUGACGGGUAGCCGGCCUGAGAGGGUGGACGGUCACACUGGGAGUGAGACACGGUCCAGACUGAUACGGGAGGCAGCAGUGGGGAAUAGUGAACAAUGGGGGCAAGCCUGAUGCAGCGACGACGCGUGAGGGAUGGAGGCCUUCGGGGUGUGAACCUCUUUCGCCAGUGAAGCAGGCCUGCCUCGUUUGUGGGUGGGUUGACGGUAGCUGGAUAAGAAGCGCCGGCUAACUACGUG